Molecule: non-coding RNA, 73 nt
Organism: Ixodes scapularis (black-legged tick)
Lineage: Eukaryota; Metazoa; Arthropoda; Arachnida; Ixodida; Ixodidae
Source: Rfam
CCCUGGUUAGUUCAGUUGGUAGAGCGCUCUACCUGUAAUGGAGAGGUCCCGGGUUCGAUACCCGGACCAGGCG